This 88-nucleotide transfer RNA is filed under the name bacterium. RNAcentral describes it as "tRNA-Ser". It matches the Rfam family "tRNA". From Rfam's summary of the family: Transfer RNA (tRNA) molecules are approximately 80 nucleotides in length. Their secondary structure includes four short double-helical elements and three loops (D, anti-codon, and T loops). RNAcentral also lists the same sequence under 3 other names. The record is from RNAcentral.
GGAGAGAUGCCGGAGCGGUUGAACGGGGCGGUCUCGAAAACCGUUAUAGGUCUCGUACCUAUCGUGGGUUCGAAUCCCACUCUCUCCG